Long non-coding RNA from Myotis davidii, 96 nucleotides. RefSeq lists it as uncharacterized. Lineage: Eukaryota; Metazoa; Chordata; Mammalia; Chiroptera; Vespertilionidae. The record is from RefSeq and is a predicted model, not a curated record. The transcript has 3 exons.
UUUCUUGUGAUGAGAACUUUUAAGAUUUACUUUUUCAGCAACUUCCAAAUAUACAACACAGUAUUGUUAAGUAUAGUCAAUGUGCUAUAAAUAUAU